This is a non-coding RNA of Myodes glareolus (Bank vole), 249 nucleotides long. The record is from RefSeq and is a predicted model, not a curated record. Lineage: Eukaryota; Metazoa; Chordata; Mammalia; Rodentia; Cricetidae.
AGUUGUCUUUAUUCCAGGUGUAAUUGAUCCACAGAGGCAGCGUCAAUGCGUACAGCAGAUCUGACAGUGACAAACUGAAGAGAAUGCUUUCCUGCUGGUUUCCUGAGUAUAGAUUAGAGAUCUGAAACAACAGCUGGUUUCUUUGACGCGUGAACUUUCACACGUUGCACACCAUCUGUGCCUGUCUGCCAAGGAAAAGCAGGAAUGGGGUAUACUGCAGGAGGGCAGAUGCUGGCUGCUGGCGUUAAC